GACGAACGCUGGCGGCGUGCUUAACACAUGCAAGUCGAGCGGAAAGGCCCUGCUUUUGUGGGGUGCUCGAGUGGCGAACGGGUGAGUAACACGUGAGUAACCUGCCCUUGACUUUGGGAUAACUUCAGGAAACUGGGGCUAAUACCGGAUAGGAGCUCCUGCUGCAUGGUGGUGGUUGGAAAGUUUCGGCGGUUGGGGAUGGACUCGCGGCUUAUCAGCUUGUUGGGGGGGUAGUGGCUUACCAAGGCUUUGACGGGUAGCCGGCCUGAGAGGGUGACCGGCCACAUUGGGACUGCGAUACGGCCCAGACUCCUACGGGAGGCAGCAGUGGGGAAUCUUGCACAAUGGGCGGAAGCCUGAUGCAGCAACGCCGCGUGCGGGAUGCCGGCUUUCGGGUUGUAAACCGCUUUCGCCUGUGACGAAGCGUGAGUGACGGUAAUGGGUAAAGAAGCACCGGCUAACUACGUG
RNAcentral lists this ribosomal RNA (468 nucleotides) under uncultured bacterium. RNAcentral's name for it is "partial 16S ribosomal RNA". It matches the Rfam family "Bacterial small subunit ribosomal RNA", at positions 28 to 507 of the family's 1533-position model. The record is from RNAcentral.